This 1089-nucleotide long non-coding RNA is filed under the name Jatropha curcas. RNAcentral describes it as "long non-coding RNA (JCUR_LNC000739)". The record is from RNAcentral. Lineage: Eukaryota; Viridiplantae; Streptophyta; Magnoliopsida; Malpighiales; Euphorbiaceae.
UCUCACCGUCUAUAAAUUAUUCUUAUUCAAAAAUCAAUCUCCCUACCAUAUCUAUUAUGAUUUAUCACUUAUCAUAUCAUAUUAUAUAAUAUAUCUCAUGAAUAACAAAGUAGACUUUCAUUCACGUAUUUCACUAAAAGAACAUUACCCUAAAAAGCCUAAAGGUUUUGGUAUGGUGCGUAUAAAUUCAUUCCUUCAUCACCAAAGAGAGACGGAGACCAAACCUGCUUCAUCACCAAAGAGAGACAGAGACCACACCUGCUGGCUGCCCGUAUUUCACCCUUGCCAGAAAUCAAAAUUUGAUUUUUUAAAAAUUUUCUUCUUCUCUACAAGAAGCCAGUAUGUAUGUGUUUGAUGCAAAAUUUUUAAGUUUCCAAUGAAGGCUUUUGCUCUCUGAUAAGGUAUAAUCCACUUUUGGUAUAAUCUAUUUGUAACUGUUAUUUUUAGUGUUCAAAUGUGAUUGAUUUGAAAAUUUGUCCUUUUAUGAUGUGAUAUUCUUAUUCUUGACUUUGUAAGUUUUGUAGUGAGCUUAUAAAAAUUUAUCAACGGACAACUUGGUAUGGUAACCUGUUUGUAAGUCUCAUGUGAAUUUAUAUAUAGCUAUAUAUGCCUUUGAUUAUCUUUAAUUGCCAUUGGCAAGCUGGGUAUAUAUGUGCACUAGAAUUUUUUUUGAUGGUUCUAUCUCCAUGAAAUCUUUAUCUGUAUUUCCCAGAGGAUGACCAUGAGUUACUUAAAUUGAAAACAAUAUCCCUAUUUUGAACAACACAUUAUGUCCUAAUGUGUCAAAUUUAUAAAUGCAGUACUUAUUUUGCUUGCAUCAUGUUUUUUUUGCAGUAUAUGAAAAGAAACCAUCCCUGAAAGUCUGUCAAGGCAUGCAACAAAAGUUGCUUGGAUCUCAUGCAAUUGUUUUUUGAACUGAAAAGUUAGUACUUUUAUAGUGGCAGUUGUGAUUCUUGUGAAAUAAGAAGAAUGUAACCAUUACAACUAGUUGCAUUGCGGCCACUUAUCCAUUGCAUUUGUAACUGAAAUGUCCAUUUUGGCAUUUACAACUCAAAUAUUUGGAACUAUUCUGCAGUUUUGAAUUUUGAA